This 446-nucleotide ribosomal RNA is filed under the name uncultured bacterium. RNAcentral's name for it is "partial 16S ribosomal RNA". It matches the Rfam family "Bacterial small subunit ribosomal RNA", at positions 338 to 795 of the family's 1533-position model. The record is from RNAcentral.
CCUACGGGAGGCAGCAGUCGAGAAUCAUUCACAAUGGGGGAAACCCUGAUGGUGCGACGCCGCGUGGGGGAAUGAAGGUCUUCGGAUUGUAAACCCCUGUCAUGUGGGAGCAAAUUAAAAAGAUAGUACCACAAGAGGAAGGGACGGCUAACUCUGGGCCAGUAGCGUCGGUAAUACAGAGGUCUCAAGGGUUGUUCGGAAUACCUGGGCUUAAAGCGUGCGUAGGGUGUUUCGUAAGUCGUGUGUGAAAGGCGCGGGCUCAACCCGCGGACGGCACAUGAUACUGCGAGACUAGAGUAAUGGAGGGGGAACCGGAAUUCUCGGUGUAGCAGUGAAAUGCGUAGAUAUCGAGAGGAACACUCGUGGCGAAGGCGGGUUCCUGGACAUUAACUGACGCUGAGGCACGAAGGCCAGGGGAGCGAAAGGGAUUAGAUACCCUUGUAGUC